GACGAACGCUGGCGGCGUGCUUAACACAUGCAAGUCGAACGGAAAGGCCCUGCUUUUGUGGGGUGCUCGAGUGGCGAACGGGUGAGUAACACGUGAGUAACCUGCCCUUGACUUUGGGAUAACUUCAGGAAACUGGGGCUAAUACCGGAUAUGAGCUCCUGCUGCAUGGUGGGGGUUGGAAAGUUUCGGCGGUUGGGGAUGGACUCGCGGCUUAUCAGCUUGUUGGUGGGGUAGUGGCUUACCAAGGCUUUGACGGGUAGCCGGCCUGAGAGGGUGACCGGCCACAUUGGGACUGAGAUACGGCCCAGACUCCUACGGGAGGCAGCAGUGGGGAAUAUUGCACAAUGGGCGGAAGCCUGAUGCAGCAACGCCGCGUGCGGGAUGACGGCCUUCGGGUGGUAAACCGCUUUCGCCUGUGACGAAGCGUGAGUGACGGUAAUGGGUAAAGAAGCACCGGCUAACUACGUG
Molecule: ribosomal RNA, 468 nt
Filed under: uncultured bacterium
Lineage: Bacteria
Description: partial 16S ribosomal RNA
Rfam family: Bacterial small subunit ribosomal RNA
Source: RNAcentral